GAUGAACGCUGGCGGCGUGCCUAAUACAUGCAAGUCGAGCGAACAGACGAGGAGCUUGCUCCUCUGACGUUAGCGGCGGACGGGUGAGUAACACGUGGAUAACCUACCUAUAAGACUGGGAUAACUUCGGGAAACCGGAGCUAAUACCGGAUAAUAUAUUGAACCGCAUGGUUCAAUAGUGAAAGACGGUUUUGCUGUCACUUAUAGAUGGAUCCGCGCCGCAUUAGCUAGUUGGUAAGGUAACGGUUUACCAAGGCAACGAUGCGUAGCCGACCUGAGAGGGUGAUCGGCCACACUGGAACUGAGACACGGUCCAGACUCCUACGGGAGGCAGCAGUAGGGAAUCUUCCGCAAUGGGCGAAAGCCUGACGGAGCAACGCCGCGUGAGUGAUGAAGGUCUUCGGAUCGUAAAACUCUGUUAUUAGGGAAGGACAAAUGUGUAAGUAACUAUGCACGUCUUGACGGUACCUAAUCAGAAAGCCACGGCUAACUACGUG
This 497-nucleotide ribosomal RNA is filed under the name uncultured bacterium. RNAcentral describes it as "partial 16S ribosomal RNA". It matches the Rfam family "Bacterial small subunit ribosomal RNA", at positions 28 to 507 of the family's 1533-position model. The record is from RNAcentral.